RNAcentral lists this transfer RNA (24 nucleotides) under Salvelinus sp. Its description in RNAcentral is "partial tRNA-Thr". The record is from RNAcentral. Lineage: Eukaryota; Metazoa; Chordata; Actinopteri; Salmoniformes; Salmonidae.
GAGGUUAAAACCCUCCCUAGUGCU